Long non-coding RNA from Syngnathus acus (greater pipefish), 843 nucleotides. RefSeq lists it as uncharacterized. Lineage: Eukaryota; Metazoa; Chordata; Actinopteri; Syngnathiformes; Syngnathidae. The transcript has 3 exons. The record is from RefSeq and is a predicted model, not a curated record.
AGACAAACUCUUUCUUGCGUUCUCCCUUUUUCAUGCCGUCUAGGCUGUCGCUCGGAGAAGCGGGACAACCUUCGCUUCCGGAACCCUGUGCACAAGCUUUCCAACUCCUCCUCGUACUGGCCUUCUGGUCGACCUGCUCCUGUUGAUGAAGAACGUUGUGAGCUUGCGUUUCCCAUCUCCGCGCACAACGCAUGCAGGAUCUUCUGACAUUUUUUUGCCUCUUUUUGGGCUGCUGCUCCACGGCUGCGUCAACCGUGGUUGUCCUUUUGGAGGCAGGUGGCACUUUCCCCACUGACCCGGAGCUGAAUUUUCUGCCGACGUCAUCUUCUCAGAAGGACCUGUUGAUGUUUUCCGCCUCCCGUCCACCUUUAGAGGUUGUUGAGGUCUUGGCGGCUUCUUGAGAGGCACCGGGGGUUGCUUUGGAGUGAAAGCAAGUUUAGAAACUGUCCGCAACAACUUGUUACGACUUCAAAGUGUUUCUUACAGCAUCUUUCUUCUUUCUCGUCAGAUGGCCUCCGUUCAGCCGCUGUCCACGCUUGGAGGCAGCGGCCACGCCCAUCAGGAGCCGGACCUCUGCCUCGGUGCCGGGUUCGGGCUUCAGCUUGUCCAGGAUGCAGGCGUUGAGGUGAGGCCCGUUCUCGUCGUACGCAAAGAUGAAGUUGGCCAAGCGCUCGUCGGGCGACAUGGCCAGCGCCUCGGUGGCCUGGAUGACGCCCAUCUUCCACUGGGGGCGCACUUUACGGGGCACUGAUUGAAGGGUCUGGAGGGCCAAACGGCCGUCAACCACAACCAAAAGGAAAAACAAAUGAGGUACCUCCACUUGAGAAUUUAAUUGUUUGAAUU